This 75-nucleotide transfer RNA is filed under the name Patescibacteria group bacterium. RNAcentral's name for it is "tRNA-Gln". It matches the Rfam family "tRNA". Rfam says of the family: Transfer RNA (tRNA) molecules are approximately 80 nucleotides in length. Their secondary structure includes four short double-helical elements and three loops (D, anti-codon, and T loops). The record is from RNAcentral.
GGCGGGUUUUCGAGUGGUCUCGACGCGAGUCUUUGAAACUCGUAGAGCAGAGUUCGAUUCUCUGGCCCGCUGCCA